CACUUAAUCAUCUUACUAUUACCUAUUAUCAUCUAACAUUCUCAUUCCUUUUGUGCCUCUUGAUAUUUAAAUAAACGAAAUUCAAUGGAAUAGUCUUAAAAAUCCAAAAUUAUAUCCACAAUUGCAUUGUGUGACAAGGAAACUAGAAAUCAUGAAGUAGCAGGAGAUUCUGGAUAUUCAGAACUGUCAUGAAAAAUUUUAUUUCUUUGCUGGACUGCAAAAUCUAGCCUGGUAAUGUUGGAUGACACUAAAUUUAACCUUUUAAUGAUUCCCUCUUUCCUCUAAUUUUUCAUUGUGCUACAGCAUAAAUCUUCAAAUUAAUUCAUUUAAUAUGUUGCAAAUUUAUAAGUUUUAAUUUAGGAAAUAUUUUUACUCUUCAUAUCAAUAGAGGAAUGAUGAUCCCCUUUUAACUGUGAGCAUAUCCAUAGAAGCAAAUAAAUCUUCACAGGGGAAAAGGAACUAUUGGAAGACCAUUCUUUAUAAAGCUAAGGAUUGAUAACAUUGCUUUUUGGAAUAAUUAACCUGGAUUUUAAUUGCUAAUUUAGCAUUUCAGUAUUAAUCAUGUUAACAUAGAAUGUAUGUAACUUACACGCCAGCCGUAGUAGAAAUGAACUGCAGUACUUAAUGUCGAUCUUCUGAUAAAUAACAAAUUUAAUUUGAUGUCUGAUAUAAUUAAAAACGAAAUAUUUUUGUA
Molecule: long non-coding RNA, 694 nt
Organism: Daphnia magna
Lineage: Eukaryota; Metazoa; Arthropoda; Branchiopoda; Diplostraca; Daphniidae
Exons: 2
Source: RefSeq, a predicted model, not a curated record